GUGCUCACUUCAUCAGCACAUAUACUAAAAUUGGAAUGGUACAGAGAAGAUUAGCAUGGCCCCUGCACAAGGAUGACAUGCAAAUUUGUGAAAUGUUCUGUAUUUAA
This 107-nucleotide small nuclear RNA is filed under the name Propithecus coquereli (Coquerel's sifaka). Lineage: Eukaryota; Metazoa; Chordata; Mammalia; Primates; Indriidae. The record is from RNAcentral.